This 465-nucleotide ribosomal RNA is filed under the name Vreelandella stevensii. RNAcentral describes it as "partial 16S ribosomal RNA". It matches the Rfam family "Bacterial small subunit ribosomal RNA", at positions 338 to 795 of the family's 1533-position model. The record is from RNAcentral. Lineage: Bacteria; Pseudomonadati; Pseudomonadota; Gammaproteobacteria; Oceanospirillales; Halomonadaceae.
CCUACGGGUGGCAGCAGUGGGGAAUAUUGGACAAUGGGCGAAAGCCUGAUCCAGCCAUGCCGCGUGUGUGAAGAAGGCCUUCGGGUUGUAAAGCACUUUCAGUGGGGAAGAAAGCCUUGGGGCUAAUACCCUCGAGGAAGGACAUCACCCACAGAAGAAGCACCGGCUAACUCCGUGCCAGCAGCCGCGGUAAUACGGAGGGUGCGAGCGUUAAUCGGAAUUACUGGGCGUAAAGCGCGCGUAGGCGGUCUGAUAAGCCGGUUGUGAAAGCCCCGGGCUCAACCUGGGAACGGCAUCCGGAACUGUCAGGCUAGAGUGCAGGAGAGGAAGGUAGAAUUCCCGGUGUAGCGGGGAAAUGCGUAGAGAUCGGGAGGAAUACCAGUGGCGAAGGCGGCCUUCUGGACUGACACUGACGCUGAGGUGCGAAAGCGUGGGUAGCAAACAGGAUUAGAUACCCGAGUAGUC